Molecule: ribosomal RNA, 373 nt
Filed under: uncultured organism
Description: partial 16S ribosomal RNA
Rfam family: Bacterial small subunit ribosomal RNA
Source: RNAcentral
GUAGGUGGCAAGCGUUGUCCGGAAUUAUUGGGCGUAAAGCGCGCGCAGGCGGUCCUUUAAGUCUGAUGUGAAAGCCCACGGCUCAACCGUGGAGGGUCAUUGGAAACUGGGGGACUUGAGUACAGAAGAGGAAAGCGGAAUUCCAAGUGUAGCGGUGAAAUGCGUAGAGAUUUGGAGGAACACCAGUGGCGAAGGCGGCUUUCUGGUCUGUAACUGACGCUGAGGCGCGAAAGCGUGGGGAGCAAACAGGAUUAGAUACCCUGGUAGUCCACGCCGUAAACGAUGAGUGCUAAGUGUUAGGGGGUUUCCCGCCCCCCUUAGUGCUGCAGCUAACGCAUUAAGCACUCCGCCUGGGGAGUACGCCGCAAGGCCG